Molecule: transfer RNA, 67 nt
Filed under: Ruditapes variegatus
Lineage: Eukaryota; Metazoa; Mollusca; Bivalvia; Venerida; Veneridae
Also listed under: 1 other name
Description: tRNA-Ile
Source: RNAcentral
GGUGCUGUGCCAGAUUAAUUGGGCUAUCUUGAUGAGAUAGACUAUGGGAUUAAUAUCUCCAGCACUU